Molecule: small nucleolar RNA, 63 nt
Filed under: Trifolium pratense (red clover)
Lineage: Eukaryota; Viridiplantae; Streptophyta; Magnoliopsida; Fabales; Fabaceae
Description: snoRNA snoR12
Rfam family: Small nucleolar RNA R12
About the family: snoR12 is a C/D box small nucleolar RNA, which acts as a methylation guide for 25S ribosomal RNA in plants. snoR12 has been alternatively named snoZ44 in Arabidopsis and snoZ131 in rice.
Source: RNAcentral
UGUUGAAUGAUGAAAAAAAUCAAUCGGAUUCCCAUUGAUAUUUUCAUAGAUGAGAUUACAACA